UGCCUAGCUACAAAUUGAAGACUUACAAUCACUUCUCCGCCAGAACAUUACGAGUAAACACUUAAAAAUCAAAGGACUUGGCGGUGCCCAAAAUCCACCCAGAGGAGCCUGUUCUAUAAUCGAUAACCCACGCUAAACCUCACCACUCUUUGCCAAAACAGCCUAUAUACCACCGUCUGCAGCUCACCCUAUUGAAGGAAAAUAAGUGGGCANAAUGAACUUACUAAAAACGUCAGGUCAAGGUGUAGCACAUAUUAGAGCGGAAAGAAAUGGGCUACAUUUUCUUACUAAGAACAAACGAAAAAGCAAAUGAAAAAUUCUUGGAAGGCGGAUUUGGCAGUAAAAACAAAUAAUUAAAUUCUUUUUAACACAGCCCUUGGGCGCGC
RNAcentral lists this ribosomal RNA (386 nucleotides) under Ichthyophis sp. DJG-2032. Its description in RNAcentral is "partial 12S ribosomal RNA". It matches the Rfam family "Bacterial small subunit ribosomal RNA", at positions 832 to 1384 of the family's 1533-position model. The record is from RNAcentral. Lineage: Eukaryota; Metazoa; Chordata; Amphibia; Gymnophiona; Ichthyophiidae.